GCACUUCGGGAUAAGCCUGGGAAACUGGGUCUAAUACCGAAUAUGACCAUGGCAUGCAUGUGCUGUGGUGGAAAGCUUUUGCGGUGUGGGAUGGGCCCGCGGCCUAUCAGCUUGUUGGUGGGGUGAUGGCCUACCAAGGCGACGACGGGUAGCCGGCCUGAGUGGGUGUCCGGCCACACUGGGACUGAGAUACGGCCCAGACUCCUACGGGAGGCAGCAGUGGGGAAUAUUGCACAAUGGGCGCAAGCCUGAUGCAGCGACGCCGCGUGGGGGAUGACGGCCUUCGGGUUGUAAACCUCUUUCACCAUCGGCGAAGCCGGGAGCUUUUGUUUCUGGUGACGGUAGGUGGUGAAGAAGCACCGGCCAACUACGUGCCAGCAGCCGCGGUAAUACGUAGGGUGCGAGCGUUGUCCGGAAUUACUGGGCGUAAAGAGCUCGUAGGUGGUCUGUCGCGUUGUCCGUGAAAUUCCCUGGCUUAACUGGGGGCGUGCGGGCGAUACGGGCAGACUGGAGUACUGCAGGGGAGACUGGAAUUCCUGGUGUAGCGGUGGAAUGCGCAGAUAUCAGGAGGAACACCGGUGGCGAAGGCGGGUCUCUGGGCAGUAACUGACGCUGAGGAGCGAAAGCGUGGGGAGCGAACAGGAUUAGAUACCCUGGUAGUCCACGCCGUAAACGGUGGGUACUGGGUGUGGGUUUCCUU
RNAcentral lists this ribosomal RNA (700 nucleotides) under uncultured Mycobacterium sp. Its description in RNAcentral is "bacterial SSU rRNA". It matches the Rfam family "Bacterial small subunit ribosomal RNA", at positions 133 to 833 of the family's 1533-position model. The record is from RNAcentral. Lineage: Bacteria; Bacillati; Actinomycetota; Actinomycetes; Mycobacteriales; Mycobacteriaceae.